Molecule: ribosomal RNA, 311 nt
Filed under: uncultured fungus
Lineage: Eukaryota; Fungi
Description: LSU rRNA
Source: RNAcentral
GUGUCGAUCGAUGAUAUAUACGGCCUCGCUGUUUGCAUGUUUGUGCGCUUUGGGUGUACUUUUUCGUAUGGUUGGCCAACAUCAGUUUCGAUCACUAUAAAAUGACUGGCGGAAUGUAGCUUCGAUUUCGGUUGAAGUGUUAUAGCCUCUGGUAGAUGUGGUGAUUGAGACUGAGGAUUGCAACGAAUAUCCUUUGGGCUAUCCGUCUGGCCUCUGAAAGUUGCUUGGGUGCUGAAAGCUUGCUUAUGGUUAUCUAAGUUAACGGUCAAUAGGUUAGAACGUGAUUACAUUCGUUAAGGAUGUUGACGUAA